GUCUACAGCCAUAUCACCCUGAAGGCAUCUGAUCUCAUCAGAUCUAUGCUGGGUCAGGCCUAGUUAGUACUUGCAUGGAAGUCUGCUUGGGAAUACCAUGUGAUAAAAAAA
Molecule: ribosomal RNA, 111 nt
Organism: Cercocebus atys (sooty mangabey)
Lineage: Eukaryota; Metazoa; Chordata; Mammalia; Primates; Cercopithecidae
Source: Ensembl